This 253-nucleotide ribosomal RNA is filed under the name uncultured bacterium. RNAcentral's name for it is "partial 16S ribosomal RNA". It matches the Rfam family "Bacterial small subunit ribosomal RNA", at positions 524 to 776 of the family's 1533-position model. The record is from RNAcentral.
UACGGAGGGCGCAAGCGUUAAUCGGAAUCACUGGGCGUAAAGCGUGCGUAGGCUGUUUGAUAAGUCAGGCGUGAAAUCCCUCGGCUCAACCGGGGAACUGCGCUUGAUACUGUCGAACUCGAGUCCUGGAGAGGGUGGCGGAAUUCCUGGUGUAGGAGUGAAAUCCGUAGAUAUCAGGAGGAACACCGGUGGCGAAGGCGGCCACCUGGACAGGUACUGACGCUGAGGCACGAAAGCGUGGGGAGCAAACAGG